RNAcentral lists this long non-coding RNA (649 nucleotides) under Sus scrofa (pig). Its description in RNAcentral is "lncRNA (ENSSSCG00070011471.1)". Lineage: Eukaryota; Metazoa; Chordata; Mammalia; Artiodactyla; Suidae. The record is from RNAcentral.
AGCAUGCUCUUUUCUCCCUGCACCCUACAGAGCUGCCUUUGAAGUCACAUGUGCUCCACAGGGCACAGACAGAAACAAAAAUCAGGCACUUAAGUUUUCUGCAGCCGGUUUAGUAUGAGACAGUGUGCUUCCAGCAUUUUAUACAACAGUCAUUUCAGCUCCCUCUCCUUCGAUAUGAUGAGCUUUUGUCUCAUGCCCUGGAAUUUAAAUCCGCGCUUCCCUCUGGUUAUACCUUCUGGUCCCAGGGACAGCCUCAGGACUUGGCCCAGCUGCCUGGAUCUGGUUCAGGCCCUGCCUGGAUGGACCGACUCCAGCUCUCGGCUUGUAGGAACUGGGGCUGACUCUGCAGCCACCUGGCAAGAGCUGGCUGGCUUUGCAGCCUUCUGGACUUCCCUGAACAGCUCACUGGGGUGCUUCAAGCCCCCCUCAUCUCUUCAUUCUGCCUUACCAGGGCUAUGGGAUAAAACACAGCUAUCCAUUCUUCCUGCCUCAACUAAAAGAUACUGAGUUUAGAGAAUGGAAGGAUCCUGAGCCAGUGUUACAUAAGUGAGAGCUAAAAGGAUAACCAAGUAACUGAUGAUGGAAACUUCACCCAUUUAAAAGAAUCCCAGCGAAUAAAAGCAGAAAUUAUCACGGAACUAGAAAAAUU